RNAcentral lists this ribosomal RNA (467 nucleotides) under Streptococcus mutans. Its description in RNAcentral is "bacterial SSU rRNA". It matches the Rfam family "Bacterial small subunit ribosomal RNA", at positions 28 to 471 of the family's 1533-position model. The record is from RNAcentral. Lineage: Bacteria; Bacillati; Bacillota; Bacilli; Lactobacillales; Streptococcaceae.
GACGAACGCUGGCGGCGUGCCUAAUACAUGCAAGUGGGACGCAAGAGAACACACUGUGCUUGCACACCGUGUUUUCUUGAGUCGCGAACGGGUGAGUAACGCGUAGGUAACCUUCCUAUUAGCGGGGGAUAACUAUUGGAAACGAUAGCUAAUACCGCAUAAUAUUAAUUAUUGCAUGAUAAUUGAUUGAAAGAUGCAAGCGCAUCACUAGUAGAUGGACCUGCGUUGUAUUAGCUAGUUGGUAAGGUAAGAGCUUACCAAGGCGACGAUACAUAGCCGACCUGAGAGGGUGAUCGGCCACACUGGGACUGAGACACGGCCCAGACUCCUACGGGAGGCAGCAGUAGGGAAUCUUCGGCAAUGGACGAAAGUCUGACCGAGCAACGCCGCGUGAGUGAAGAAGGUUUUCGGAUCGUAAAGCUCUGUUGUAAGUCAAGAACGUGUGUGAGAGUGGAAAGUUCACACAG